Molecule: long non-coding RNA, 3830 nt
Organism: Bombyx mori (domestic silkworm)
Lineage: Eukaryota; Metazoa; Arthropoda; Insecta; Lepidoptera; Bombycidae
Exons: 3
Source: RefSeq, a predicted model, not a curated record
AGCACCUGCACACCACCGCGCACCCGCUACACUCUGCUGCUAGGGGCGCUACCUCCGUGUGGGCGGGCAGCACCUCUUACAACAACAAAUUCAAUUCGCUAUCCACUAAUGACAGCGUUGAUAGUGAACAAACUUCUCAUUUAAAAUUUCAAAGGUGCGGGCGCAGACAACUCACAGGAAGUUGGUGAGCAGCAGGUCGGCGAUGCCCAGCUGUCCGUCGGCGUCGGUGAGCCGCCAGCGCGCGCUCUUGAAGCAGAUCUCGUUGUAGCGGUGCGGCGCCGCGCCCGCCGGCACCUCGCGCCGCAGCUCCCGCGCCGCGCGCACCAUCGCCUCCAGCUCCUCGCCCAGCGACCACACGCACUCCUUGCACUCGUUCACCUGCAGCAACCCGCCGCGUGCCUACUCAUCGCGUAUCCUAUAGCUCAGAUGGGUGGACGGUCAACCUCAAAUUGACCACCACAUUUGAUCCACCGCAAAUUGAAAAGCUGAAUUCGGGACAAAACAGCAGCAGAGUUCAUCCAUAUUAUCUGGAACCGCUGCGUUCAUCGACAGUGCGUUUCCAGAGGUAUUUUUUGCCACGUACCAUCCGACUAUGGAAUGAGCUCCCCUCCACGGUGUUUCCCGAGCGCUAUGACAUGUCCUUCUUUAAAAGAGGCUCGUGGAGAGUAUUUAGCGGUAGGCAGUGGCUUGGCUCUGCCCGUAGCAUUGCUGAAAUCCAUGGGCGACGGUAACCACUCACCAUAAGGUUGGCCGUAUGCUCGUAUGCCUACAAGGGCAAUAAAAAAAAACCACAGUAAGCUUUUACGACCGAUCGAUAUUUUGAAAUCCACGAUGCCUACAGACCGAAGUAUCCGGUGUAAACGUAUCAAGCGACUGACUGUGCCGGGCUUCGAACUCGGCAGGGAGGUGCACAUUUUUGUAAUGAGCUUCGUACUCAACGUACGGGAGAAGUGAUAUCGUGGUACAAAAAAGAUAUCCACAAAAUGUAUGCAUUUACGUAAUUCCAGGUGAUCACUUCGACAACCAAUUAACACCAGGUGCACUAUGAACACAAACAGCAAAUGAACAUGACCAGUUUGAAACCCUCAUCCACCAGUAGACUAUACAGGAGACCACGGGAAACUGCUGGAAACACUAUUUACCAAUCCUUAAACGUCUUCUAUAGUUUUGUACAAAUGAAACAAAACUGUUCCGUACCUGAUCGUCCAAGCUCUUCAGUUCCGCAACAGCGACAGGAUCGUUUCCCGUUAUGGACCUGUUCUUCAAAUAGUACUCCUUCUCCAAUCGACGCAGUCUGGCCAGAGACUCUCUCACCUGAACAAAGCAUUCGUAAAAUUGCUUUCGAAGCAAGAUGCUUCAACGCAGAAAUAAGCAGAGAGGUGUGGUCCCUACCCACGCGGGCCCACAAGACGUACCAUCAUUUUAGUAUAAGAUAAAAUAUAAAAUUUUCUAUUCAUAGUACAUACUGAUGUUAGUAAUAUUUUUAAGUUAUCCUCCAUUGUCACAUCGGAGUGAUGUUUAGACAGGUGUCAAGACGGCUGUACAAACAUUAUUUGCAAGAUAUUAUGCUACACGUAUAUAGUACAUACCUAUAACAAAUUAAGAAUUUAGUAUUAAAACAAAGACGGACGUUACAAUCGUAUUUCUUUAUUGCUUAGAUGGGGGGACGAGCUCACAGCCCACCUGGUGUUAAGUGGUUACUGGAGCCAAUAGACACCUACGAUGUAAAUGCGCCAGCCACCUUGAGAUUUAAGUUCUAAGGUCUCAAAUAUAGUUACAACGGCUGCCCCACCCUUCAAGCCGAAACGCAUUAGUGCUUCACGGCAGAAAAAGGCAGGGUGGUGGUACCUACCCGCGCGGACUCACAAGAGGUCCCACCACCAGUGAAAAAACAAUGUCUCACAGACAUUUCGAUUUACCCUUGGUCAAUAUUUUUACAACGAUAAUAUAUUUUAUUAUGUAAAUUUACAAAUAUUUUAUUUCAUCAUCAAUAGAAAGCUCAUCUUAAAAUCUACCCUCAGACAUAAUAUUGAACGCAGUUCCAUAGUGAGUCUUUAUAUAUUUAUAAUAACGCAUUUUCUAAAUCAUCAUGUACACUAAAAAACUUCACAUUGUAAUAAUAUCGAUGGACUAUGUACAAUGAACUUACUGAAUCUGUGCCUAACGUCGAAUUUCUUUUGGCUAAAUAACACGAGUAUUUGUAGUUUAUACAAAUUAAAUUUAAAUAUCCGGAUUUAAAACGCAAGAUAAUUUUGAAAGACUGAUAACAUAAAAAAUAUUCUGAGUUCUUGUCAAUACAAAAACAUUCUGUACCAAAAUCGUGAUAACUUAUCUUCAGUGAUAAAUUACUUUUAUUUUGCUAAAAGUAAAUACACGCAUGUACCAUUCAAUUUCAGACACAUUUACAAGGUCUUCGGUAGUAUAGUGGUCAGUAUCCCCGCCUGUCACGCGGGAGACCGGGGUUCGAUUCCCCGCCGGAGAGAACUUUUUUAGUAAUUUAAAAAUAGUUUUCAAGUCCUUUUUAACCUACUAAUUUUAUUCGUACUGAAUCGAGAUUUAUUCUAAAGACAAUAAUUUAAAAUUAUUAUCGCAUAAAAACUAAUCAAGAUAUAGAUUUCUAUUGUAAAGAAAUAAUACAUUUUAUUUUAGUAGGGUGUGAAACAAACAAAUCAGUUGGAAGAGGACUAUGCCAGAAAACACAUCGAACUAAGGAACAUUCUACAAUUUAAGUAAAUAUUCUUGUUAAAUUUAGGUAUUUUACGUAAUCUAUAUAUUAAUGCGUGAAGCAAAAACUUUGUGCCCCUUUUUACGAACAUUGCGCGGACGGAGGAGUAUGAAAUUAAAUAGAAAAGGAGGGCAGAAAGCUUUUUUUUUUAUUAUUCCUAAAAAGUUCAUUAAAUCAAUUAAAAAAUAUGACACACACUACCAUUUUUUUUUUAAUGCAUGAACGGGUGGACGAUUACACAGCCCACCUGGUGUUACGUGGUUACCAGAGCCCAUAGACAUUUACAACGUAAACGUCGCCACCCACCUUAAGAUAUGGGUUCUAGGGUCUCAGUAUAAUAACAACCCGCCCUUCAAACCGAAACGCAUUACUCGCAUACAUUUAUGUACUCUUUUGUUUAUUGUUAAGCCUCUUGUCAAAUUAAGAACAGAUUAAUAGUGUUUGUCUUAUUAUAUUUAUCUAUAGUGCAGCCUUGCCGAAAUCUGUUACUAUAGAAGUGUAUGAUAGACUUUGACAAUAGAUCCUUAAUAAUGUUUAAACUUAUAAUUUAAAUUAAUUUUGGUCGAAUUUCGACCGCUGGGCGACCACUAGUGUUAUCAAUGUUCUAUAUAUGUUUUAUUAUUAUGGUACGUAUAAAACAGUAACAUGUAAUGAUCUAUGAACGCCAUUUGUAAAUUUAUUUAGGGUUUUUAAUAGAAUGUAAGAAAAUAAAACAAGAACAAAUUCUAGACAAGCAGUUGAUAAUUUUGCGACGGAGGACAGAGUCUUCGGUAGUAUAGUGGUCAGUAUCCCCGCCUGUCACGCGGGAGACCGGGGUUCGAUUCCCCGCCGGAGAGAACUUUUUGCCACUUUUUCUCGUGUUUAAUGUGUCAAGGCCCUUAUCUUAUUUUCAUAAAAUCGUUCUUCAUAUAUCUGAACCUUACUUCACAAAUUACAAAUCCAAUUUUCCAUUUCCUUUUUUUAUUUCACAUAUUUUGUUAGAAAUACUCGCAUCAUUGUUUCCCGAAGAGCAUUGGAUAAAGUGUUGUGGGAACUUCAAAUUUUAAAAUUUUCCUUCAAUUUCAUUAUUGUAUUAUGUUAAAAUAUUAAAAAUAAUUUUUUUAGA